GGUCAAGCACUGUACAACCCAAAAUUAGCCAAUCCCGCCAGGUUCGGAAGAAAGCAACGGCCGUUAGUGGAUGGUGUGAUGCAGCACGCUUGACCAUU
RNAcentral lists this signal recognition particle RNA (98 nucleotides) under Bacteroidota bacterium. RNAcentral describes it as "Bacteroidetes bacterium signal recognition particle sRNA small type". It matches the Rfam family "Bacterial small signal recognition particle RNA". Rfam says of the family: The signal recognition particle (SRP) is a universally conserved ribonucleoprotein involved in the co-translational targeting of proteins to membranes. Archaeal SRP consists of a 7S RNA and homologues of the eukaryotic SRP19 and SRP54 proteins. In most bacteria, the SRP consists of a 4.5S RNA and the Ffh protein (a homologue of the eukaryotic SRP54 protein). The record is from RNAcentral. Lineage: Bacteria; Pseudomonadati; Bacteroidota. RNAcentral also lists the same sequence under 1 other name.